RNAcentral lists this ribosomal RNA (902 nucleotides) under uncultured Clostridia bacterium. RNAcentral describes it as "SSU rRNA". It matches the Rfam family "Bacterial small subunit ribosomal RNA", at positions 8 to 916 of the family's 1533-position model. The record is from RNAcentral. Lineage: Bacteria; Bacillati; Bacillota; Clostridia.
AGAGUUUGAUCCUGGCUCAGGACGAACGCUGGCGGCGUGCCUAAUACAUGCAAGUCGAGCGAAUCUUUAGGAGCUUGCUCCUGAAGGUUAGCGGCGGACGGGUGAGUAACACGUGGGCAACCUGCCUGUAAGACUGGGAUAACACCGGGAAACCGGUGCUAAUACCGGAUAAUCCUUUUCCUCACAUGGGGGAAAGCUGAAAGACGGUUUCGGCUGUCACUUACAGAUGGGCCCGCGGCGCAUUAGCUAGUUGGUGAGGUAACGGCUCACCAAGGCGACGAUGCGUAGCCGACCUGAGAGGGUGAUCGGCCACACUGGGACUGAGACACGGCCCAGACUCCUACGGGAGGCAGCAGUGGGGAAUAUUGCGCAAUGGGGGAAACCCUGACGCAGCAACGCCGCGUGAAGGAUGAAGGUUUUCGGAUCGUAAACUUCUUUGAUGAGGGAAGAAUAAUGACGGUACCUCAAAAACAAGCCACGGCUAACUACGUGCCAGCAGCCGCGGUAAUACGUAGGUGGCGAGCGUUGUCCGGAAUUACUGGGUGUAAAGGGCGUGUAGGCGGGAAUGCAAGUCAGAUGUGAAACUCCGGGGCUUAACUUCGGAACUGCAUCUGAAACUGUGUUUCUUGAGUGCUGGAGAGGAAAGCGGAAUUCCUAGUGUAGCGGUGAAAUGCGUAGAUAUUAGGAGGAACACCAGUGGCGAAGGCGGCUUUCUGGACAGUAACUGACGCUGAGGCGCGAAAGCGUGGGGAGCAAACAGGAUUAGAUACCCUGGUAGUCCACGCUGUAAACGAUGAGUGCUAGGUGUCGUGGGUAUUGACCCCCGCGGUGCCGUAGCUAACGCAUUAAGCACUCCGCCUGGGAAGUACGGUCGCAAGACUAAAACUUAAAGGAAUUGACGG